Molecule: long non-coding RNA, 1232 nt
Organism: Oncorhynchus tshawytscha (Chinook salmon)
Lineage: Eukaryota; Metazoa; Chordata; Actinopteri; Salmoniformes; Salmonidae
Source: Ensembl
UGUUCAAGAGAAGGAGAUGAAUGAGUGUGUAUACAGGUGUGCUAUCUUAAUUUGAACAGUUUCUCAGGAAAUGUGAAUUACUAUGUGGAUUAUAAUUAAUGGACAUUUUUGUAGGGGUUUCUAAAUGUUUAGUUAGGAUAAUUCAAGUCUGACAUUUUAAAGUGGAAAUGACAAACAUUAGAAGCAUUUUUAAUCCUUGAAUAUAUUACAAUUUGCAUUUGCUGCAGAGCCGGAAAAAAAUUCUGCGACAACAAUUCUGCGACAACAGAGUGAUCAAAUUAAGAUAGUACAUCUGUAUACUGUUUGUGUGUUAUAUUGUUACAAUGUUGACCUUGUGUAGGCACCAGUGUUGCCUGUUUGUGUAAAUGUGUAAAUCACAGAAAGCCAUCAAGAACAUAGAACACCUUAUAGUGGAAGAACACAUAGUCUAUAGUAUAUUUAGAUUAUUUGAGAAUUUCCUAAGUGUCUUUUACUUGGUGGAAUGCAAGUCAAAUUUUUUUGGGGUGAAGGUUUAUUGCUUGUUUGAUCAGAAACAUUUAGUGGGCUGUACAGUACAGAGUAUAAACAGAGCUCCAUUAGUUUGCCUUGGAAAACAGCCACCUCCUCUCCUUUAACCUCUCUGAUCAACAUGUGUCAGCGUGGAAGAGAGCAGUUAGAGACAAAACACUGAGACAUUUCUUACCGCUUGUGUUGCCAUAGCAACCUCUUGUCAAAUGAAGAUGUCAGGCCACGGGUGACCCCCAUGGUCUCUUUUUUUUUUGUCUUUCUUCCCCUCUGCUGGGGGAAGCACACAUGACCUAUAACUUUUUACCUAGAAUGGCCAGGCUGUCUGGUCCUGGUUCUGAGCACACAGGGUCUGUCCAUAAGGGCUAUAGUACGGAACUGCUCCUGCCUGCCCUCUUCAAUGGUGAAACUUGCCAUAGAUAUGUGACUGAGAUAGCUAUGUGGGGGGAAAUCGCAUAACAUCCAUGGCUCUCACAUUUAGAAGAAGCACGUAGAAAGCAUGCAAAGGGUAGUAAACACAAGGAAGGGUAGUAAGCACAGGGAAGGGUAGUAAACACAGGGAAGGGUAGUAAGCACAGGGAAGGGUAGUAAGCACAGGGAAGGGUAGUAAGCACAGGGAAGGGUAGUAAGCACAGGGAAGGGUAGUAAGCACAGUGAAGGGUAGUAAGCACAGGGAAGGGUAGUUAGCAUAGGGAAGGGUAGUAAGCACAGGGAAGGGUAGUAAGCAC